GAUGAAGAACGCAGCGAAAUGCGAUACGUAGUGUGAAUUGCAGAAUUCCGUGAACCAUCAAAUCUUUGAACGCAUAUUGCGCUCGAGGCUUCGGCCGAGAGCAUGUCUGCCUUAGCGUCGGUAUUACCCCUCGCUUCUCAACCCCUGGUUGAUGCCUGCCUGCCUUUGCAGUUGGCUAGAAGCGGAUCUGGCUUUCCCAAUUGCCUUUGGUAGUUGGGUCAGCUGAAGCACAGAGGCUUGAGCAAGGACCCUUAUUGGGCUUCAACUGGAUAGGUAGAACUGGUCUUAGGACCAACUACACGAAGUUGUUGCUUGUGGUCUUUGUCUGGAGGCCAGCAGGAAACCUUUAUACCUUCGACCUGAGCUCAGGCAAGAUUACCCGCUGAACUUAAGCAUAUCAAUAAGCGGAGGA
RNAcentral lists this unclassified non-coding RNA (412 nucleotides) under soil metagenome. Its description in RNAcentral is "partial contains 5.8S ribosomal RNA, internal transcribed spacer 2, and large subunit ribosomal RNA". The stretch from base 1 to 120 matches the Rfam family "5.8S ribosomal RNA", at positions 35 to 154 of the family's 154-position model. The record is from RNAcentral.